UCCGAUAUGCUCUAGUGGCUAGGAUACCUGGCUCUCACCUAGGAGGCUCGGGUUCGAUUCCCGGUAUCGGAA
Molecule: non-coding RNA, 72 nt
Organism: Chrysoperla carnea
Lineage: Eukaryota; Metazoa; Arthropoda; Insecta; Neuroptera; Chrysopidae
Source: the annotation of a RefSeq genome assembly